GGAAUCGAAAUCGUGGUUUUGUUUCACUGGAUUUGAGUGGAAUGUUGAAAUUUCUAAUUCACGGUCUGUUCUAGUUAGUCUUCGCAGGGCUGGAGCUGUCCCAGUUAUGGUACUGGGAGGAUCUGGGGUGACUGAGGCAGGAUCAUUGUUUUCCGGUGCCUCUGCUAUAGCUUUCAUAUACGUCCUUCUCAGGAUAGCGUUUUUCUUCAAAAGGGAAUACUCAAUCUUAGGUCUUAGGUCUAAUUAUAAUUUUUUUACAGAUUGGUCUUUGGUUUUACAGAUUUAUAAAUUCUCAAGUCAUUUUUCUUGCAAUUAUUCCUUUUCUUUAUCAAUUUUAGUUUUGUUAUAUGUUUUCUAUACAGUCGGAUCUAAUCGAACUUCUAUAUAGUAAAAUUAAUUAACAUGAAAAUUAUGGGGUCUU
Molecule: long non-coding RNA, 421 nt
Organism: Camelina sativa (false flax)
Lineage: Eukaryota; Viridiplantae; Streptophyta; Magnoliopsida; Brassicales; Brassicaceae
Source: RefSeq, a predicted model, not a curated record